GCAACAACCCACUUGGGUUCCCUUUCACACUGUGGAAGCUUUGUUCUUUUGCUCUUCACAAUGAAUCUUGCUGCUCCUCAUUCUUUGGGUCUGCAUCAACUUUAAGAGCUGUAACACUCACCGUGAGGGUCUGCAGCUUCAUUCUUGAAGUCAGCAAGACCACAAAUCCACCGGAAGGAACAAACUCUGGUCACAUCUUGGCAACUAAGAAGGGACUAUCACCAAGCGCUCCUUGGCCUAGCUGCUGAUGGUUGAUGAGGCCCAGGGCCUUCAGCCCCAUCUGCUAUCACUGCAUUGGAGCCCAGGGUAACUCUACUAGUAGCAGGUAAGCCAAUCUUUUUUUUAAAUCAAUACCGAGGCCACCUACCUGGCUUUGCCUGAAUUUUCGGGACCAACUCAUCCCUCUCAGGUCUCAGUUGUGGGAGUUAAUGGACUCCUCUCAUGUACACGUGCCACUAGACUUCUUGCUUUUUCCUUAUUUAAUAUUGUUUUUUCUCACUCUUUCCUUAUCAUGCCUCAUUGUCCUACCCCCAUUCUAGACUGAGACCUUUUAGCCAAAUUCAAGGCUUCUAUCUCAUUUUCCUGGCUCCCUCAACCAGAGUCCCUCCUGCUCCUCUCCAUUAGUCCGGCCCCUGACCCCUCUCCCCAGCACCCACUUUCCACCUCUCUCAUUAUCCCAGUAGUGUAGCACACUGCCCUAGCUGCUUACCAUGACCCCAUUAAAAUCCACUUAAAUGACCCUUCUAACUUUCUCAAUGUCCCUCAAUAUCCUAUCUCACUGAUUCAUCAGAGGGGCCUACAACCCAUCAUAAGCAAACUCCUCUUGUGCAGCCUCCUCAAACCAACCCAUUUUCCAUGUAAUACUCUCAUACUCCCUGUCAAAAAGACAGAUGGCUGUUAUCAACUAGUCCAAGACCUCCAAUCUAUUAAUCAGGCAGUCCUAACCAUCCAUCCAGUAGUUCCUAAUCUCUACACACUUCUUUCCCUUGUUGCUCCCAACACAACCCACUACAUUACAAUUGAUCUAAAAAAUGCCUUCUUUACCAUUCCCCUUCACCUUGACUCCCAAGAUCUCUUUGCCUUCACCUGGCCUGACCCUAAAACCCUCGUCACAACAACUUACUUAGACAGUCCUUCCUCAAGGCUUUAGAGACAAUCCUCCUUUCUUUAGAUAAGCUGUAGCUCAAAACCUCACCUCCCUAAACCUCUCCCCUAGUCAGCUCCUUCACUAUGUAAAUGACCUCCUUCUCUGUAGUCCUUCCCCAAAGAAAACUCAGAAUCACACUAUCUCAUUCUACUAAGUUUUCUUGCUAAUAAAGGAUAUAAGGUUUCUCCUUCCAAAGCACAACUCUCCUCCCCAACAGUAACAUAUUUAGGAAUCCAACUUUCACCCAGGGCCCAAGCCAUGACCCCAGCGUGGGCAGCCUUAAUAGAUAGCCUGCCUCUAUCCGCCUCUAAAAAUAAAAUCCUUUCCUUUUGGGGGUUAGCAGGCUUCUUCAAAAUAUAAAUUCCCAACUUUGCCCUGUUAGCCCACCCCUUUAUCAAGCAGCCAAAGGCCCUUUAAAUGAGCCUCCAAAUCCUUCCCACAACAUAAUCCCUAGCUUCCACAAACAUAAAGCUACUCUUGUAACCACCCCUACUCUAUCUCUGCCAAACAUUUCUCAGGUGUGAUGAGGUCUAGCCUCUGGGGUUCUGUAGGGUUACUGCAGCCAGGGAAUCUAAAUGGUUUUGUAAAUGAGUGAUGGAAUUAGCAAUUCCAUCAGCCCUUCAUUAUCUAUUACAGCCAAACGCCAAGAAAUAGCCCUCAGUGUUCUUGGCCAACAAAAGGGAAAUCUUCCUUCCUUUGCUCCUGUAGCCUAUCUUUCUAAACAACUAGAGUGUACCACCAAAAGAUGGCCAACUUGCCUCAGAGCCCUAGCGGCAGCCACCACCCUGGCAUUAAAAAGCAAAACAACGUAACAUUUGGUCAACACACCACCAUCCACAGCCCACAUAACCUACAAGACAUACUCUCUUGCAAAGUGCUCAGUGUCCUUUCUCCAUCCUAUAUCCAACUACUCCAUGCUCUGUUUCUUAAAAACCCUGAGUUCUACCUUUCCAAAAGCACUCCCCUCAACCCUGCAUCUACUCCCAGUAUCUUCCUCGCCUCCCACCAACUCCUGUACCAAUAUCCUUAAUCACCUGCAACUUCAUUUCCCUAAUAUCUCUCCUAUUAACGACUCCUCUUCCAAGUCCAUUGCCAAAGCUGAACCAAGCCCCUCCAAAUAAGGAACUUACACACUCCAACACCUAUUCUCAAUCCACUCAUCUGUUUAUAUUAACAUCUCAGGCGUCUUCUUCUUCUUUGGAUCUACAACCUACUUUUGUCUCCCUACCAAUUGGACAGGUACUUGCACCCUAAUUUACCCCCACCAUUAACAUUGUUCCCCCAGACCAAGACCUCCCUGUCCCUGCCAUGCUUCAUGCCGGCCCCAAAAAAGCAAUACAGUCCAUUCCCUUAUUAGCUGCACUUGGAGCUACAGCUACGGUCAGGUUAAGAGCAGGAAUCCUAGGAACAUCAUUGUCAUACUUUCGGACACUUUCUUAAGAUCUCCAAUCCACUCUAGAAAAAAAUUGCUAAUUCCAUCACUCAUUUACAAAACUAUUUAGAUUCCCUGGCUGCAGUAACCCUAUAGAACCCCAGAGGCUAGAUCUCCUCACACCUGAAAAAAGAGGUAUGUCUCUUUCUCGAUGAACAGUGUUGUUUCUACCUCAGUAAGUCUGGGGUAGUUCAAAAUGCUGUCAAAAAACUCAAAGACCAAGCUCAAAAACUCCAAAAUAACCAUUCUAACUGGCUUCAAUGGCUACAAUACUCCUGGGCACCCUGGCUAUUGCCUCUUCUUGGCCCCACAAUAGGGCUGUUUCUCCUGCUAGCUUUCGGACCCUGUCUUUUAUGCCUCCUAAUCCAGCUCUUGCAGGACUGGAUCAAAGCCUUCAUACACAGCACCUUACAGGACAUAAUGCUCCUCCAAAAAUGAUAGAAACUGUAUAAGUAGCCAUACCCAACCUUCAUCCCCAUUCAGUAAGAGGUAGCCUGAUGACCACAAAGCUCCUUUUUCCUAAAAUUAAUAAAAGGAAUGUUAGGUGAAACUUAGCCACCUGUUUCUGCAAGGAUCCCCACUCCCGAUUUCCUUUAGGUGUUAUGUAACCUGAGCUACAAAUAAUGCAGCACUGUUAGAAUUUAGCAAAACAACUCCAGGAUGUGGUUUUACUCAGAAUGUAUGCCAUGCCAGCCCCCACAGUCAAACCCCAUAAAGCCCCCCCUAGUGUGUCAACUCAGGGCUGCCUCCUCUGUUUACUGUGGAGCAGACCGGCAGGUUAAUAAAACUUGCUUGCCUGACUUUGGGUCCGUUCAUUCUUUCUCCCGGCUAACCUUUCAUAUCUAUCAACAAAUAAAAGUAAUACAUGGCUUAUGCACACAAUGGAAUAGUCUUAUAAGAAAAUUAUGACACAUGCUACAAAAUGAAUGAGUGUCAAAGUCAAUACAUUAAAUGAAACAAGCCAGUCACCAAAUAAAAAAUAUUGUGUGAUUCCACUCAUGUAAGUAAUCAAAUUCACACAGACAGGAAGUGGAAUAUUUGUUGCCAGAUAGGGGCAUAAGAAGGGAUAGGAAAGCAUUGCCUAAUUGGUUUAAAUUUCUAGUUUGGAAAGGUGAAAAUGUUCUGGAGACCGAUGGUGAUGAUGGUUGCCAAUGUGAAUGUACUUAAUGCCACUGAAUUUACACCUAAAGUAGUUAGAACUGUAAAUUUUAUGUUGUGUUGUGUUUUAUCACAAUCAAAAACUAGUUUCUAUGAAGGGGAUAAAAUCUGAGUGUAAAUUAUCAUCAAAAGAGAAACAAGAUAGAAAUAAAAGAGAUUUGUAUUAGGCAAGCCUGAGAAUGUAAUGAGGAAAGAAGAAAAAUCAGUUAUAGUAAUGAUGACAUUAAUUGAAACUUGAUUGUAAAUAAGGUGUGAUAAUUUUUUAAUUGUCAUCUUAAUAUAAAUAGCCUAUUUUAG
This 4034-nucleotide long non-coding RNA is filed under the name Homo sapiens (human). Its description in RNAcentral is "HSALNT0288317". The record is from RNAcentral. Lineage: Eukaryota; Metazoa; Chordata; Mammalia; Primates; Hominidae.